This is a long non-coding RNA of Rosa chinensis, 397 nucleotides long. RefSeq lists it as uncharacterized. NCBI's taxonomy places the organism in Eukaryota, Viridiplantae, Streptophyta, Magnoliopsida, Rosales, Rosaceae. The record is from RefSeq and is a predicted model, not a curated record. The transcript is spliced from 3 exons.
GGUGAAGAAGGCCAAGGAGAAGGAAUAGGACGUGAUUUUUGAAGAAGAAAGGGAAACACGAUCGUUAAGGAAGCUUAAGCGGAAAGCAUCAGAGUGUAGAGUACGCCAGCAUUUUUCAGGUUAUAACGAGGUCAUUCCGGACGAUUUGGAUUAGAGGUGGGUCGUUGGCUGAGUCCGUGUGUUGCUGUUCCUGUUGCUUGAAGUUCUUCCCUUGUGGUAUUCCAUCGUUUUACUCGUUUUUUUCAUUCCAUGUUGAACUCUGUGAGGUCCGCCUACCUGGGAGCGCGCCUCACCCCUUUGUUUUAUUGUUGUUGUUGAACUUUCCUUUCAUUUCGGUUAUGAUGUAAGCCCUAAGGCGCCACAAUGCACUUGCCCACUUUAUUUUUAAGCUUUUCCA